GUGCAAGAAAAAGGUGUGGUGAUGCCUAGAACAGGAAGGCUAUAGGACAUCUUCGAUAGGCUGCUGCUCCAACUUCAGAAGGAGUUCUGAAGCACUUCCAAAUCAGAUAGAGAUCUAAUUUUUUGAGCAUAGAUUCAUGAGGAGAAGAUGUUCAAGGUCCUGCCUAAGUGGAUAUCGAUAGAGGCCAGACGCUUAUGUGGCUACAUCAGAACCUCGAGGUGGGAUCAUAAAAGUUAAUAAUUGAUCAGCUAAUAGGAUUAAGUCUAA
This 267-nucleotide long non-coding RNA is filed under the name Elaeis guineensis (African oil palm). RNAcentral's name for it is "long non-coding RNA (EGUI_LNC068134)". Lineage: Eukaryota; Viridiplantae; Streptophyta; Magnoliopsida; Arecales; Arecaceae. The record is from RNAcentral.